This 2902-nucleotide ribosomal RNA is filed under the name Escherichia coli. RNAcentral describes it as "bacterial LSU rRNA". It matches the Rfam family "Bacterial large subunit ribosomal RNA". The record is from RNAcentral. Lineage: Bacteria; Pseudomonadati; Pseudomonadota; Gammaproteobacteria; Enterobacterales; Enterobacteriaceae.
UUAAGCGACUAAGCGUACACGGUGGAUGCCCUGGCAGUCAGAGGCGAUGAAGGACGUGCUAAUCUGCGAUAAGCGUCGGUAAGGUGAUAUGAACCGUUAUAACCGGCGAUUUCCGAAUGGGGAAACCCAGUGUGUUUCGACACACUAUCAUUAACUGAAUCCAUAGGUUAAUGAGGCGAACCGGGGGAACUGAAACAUCUAAGUACCCCGAGGAAAAGAAAUCAACCGAGAUUCCCCCAGUAGCGGCGAGCGAACGGGGAGCAGCCCAGAGCCUGAAUCAGUGUGUGUGUUAGUGGAAGCGUCUGGAAAGGCGCGCGAUACAGGGUGACAGCCCCGUACACAAAAAUGCACAUGCUGUGAGCUCGAUGAGUAGGGCGGGACACGUGGUAUCCUGUCUGAAUAUGGGGGGACCAUCCUCCAAGGCUAAAUACUCCUGACUGACCGAUAGUGAACCAGUACCGUGAGGGAAAGGCGAAAAGAACCCCGGCGAGGGGAGUGAAAAAGAACCUGAAACCGUGUACGUACAAGCAGUGGGAGCACGCUUCGGCGUGUGACUGCGUACCUUUUGUAUAAUGGGUCAGCGACUUAUAUUCUGUAGCAAGGUUAACCGAAUAGGGGAGCCGAAGGGAAACCGAGUCUUAACUGGGCGUUAAGUUGCAGGGUAUAGACCCGAAACCCGGUGAUCUAGCCAUGGGCAGGUUGAAGGUUGGGUAACACUAACUGGAGGACCGAACCGACUAAUGUUGAAAAAUUAGCGGAUGACUUGUGGCUGGGGGUGAAAGGCCAAUCAAACCGGGAGAUAGCUGGUUCUCCCCGAAAGCUAUUUAGGUAGCGCCUCGUGAAUUCAUCUCCGGGGGUAGAGCACUGUUUCGGCAAGGGGGUCAUCCCGACUUACCAACCCGAUGCAAACUGCGAAUACCGGAGAAUGUUAUCACGGGAGACACACGGCGGGUGCUAACGUCCGUCGUGAAGAGGGAAACAACCCAGACCGCCAGCUAAGGUCCCAAAGUCAUGGUUAAGUGGGAAACGAUGUGGGAAGGCCCAGACAGCCAGGAUGUUGGCUUAGAAGCAGCCAUCAUUUAAAGAAAGCGUAAUAGCUCACUGGUCGAGUCGGCCUGCGCGGAAGAUGUAACGGGGCUAAACCAUGCACCGAAGCUGCGGCAGCGACGCUGAUGCGUUGUUGGGUAGGGGAGCGUUCUGUAAGCCUGCGAAGGUGUGCUGUGAGGCAUGCUGGAGGUAUCAGAAGUGCGAAUGCUGACAUAAGUAACGAUAAAGCGGGUGAAAAGCCCGCUCGCCGGAAGACCAAGGGUUCCUGUCCAACGUUAAUCGGGGCAGGGUGAGUCGACCCCUAAGGCGAGGCCGAAAGGCGUAGUCGAUGGGAAACAGGUUAAUAUUCCUGUACUUGGUGUUACUGCGAAGGGGGGACGGAGAAGGCUAUGUUGGCCGGGCGACGGUUGUCCCGGUUUAAGCGUGUAGGCUGGUUUUCCAGGCAAAUCCGGAAAAUCAAGGCUGAGGCGUGAUGACGAGGCACUACGGUGCUGAAGCAACAAAUGCCCUGCUUCCAGGAAAAGCCUCUAAGCAUCAGGUAACAUCAAAUCGUACCCCAAACCGACACAGGUGGUCAGGUAGAGAAUACCAAGGCGCUUGAGAGAACUCGGGUGAAGGAACUAGGCAAAAUGGUGCCGUAACUUCGGGAGAAGGCACGCUGAUAUGUAGGUGAAGUCCCUUGCGGAUGGAGCUGAAAUCAGUCGAAGAUACCAGCUGGCUGCAACUGUUUAUUAAAAACACAGCACUGUGCAAACACGAAAGUGGACGUAUACGGUGUGACGCCUGCCCGGUGCCGGAAGGUUAAUUGAUGGGGUCAGCGCAAGCGAAGCUCUUGAUCGAAGCCCCGGUAAACGGCGGCCGUAACUAUAACGGUCCUAAGGUAGCGAAAUUCCUUGUCGGGUAAGUUCCGACCUGCACGAAUGGCGUAAUGAUGGCCAGGCUGUCUCCACCCGAGACUCAGUGAAAUUGAACUCGCUGUGAAGAUGCAGUGUACCCGCGGCAAGACGGAAAGACCCCGUGAACCUUUACUAUAGCUUGACACUGAACAUUGAGCCUUAAUGUGUAGGAUAGGUGGGAGGCUUUGAAGUGUGGACGCCAGUCUGCAUGGAGCCGACCUUGAAAUACCACCCUUUAAUGUUUGAUGUUCUAACGUUGACCCGUAAUCCGGGUUGCGGACAGUGUCUGGUGGGUAGUUUGACUGGGGCGGUCUCCUCCUAAAGAGUAACGGAGGAGCACGAAGGUUGGCUAAUCCUGGUCGGACAUCAGGAGGUUAGUGCAAUGGCAUAAGCCAGCUUGACUGCGAGCGUGACGGCGCGAGCAGGUGCGAAAGCAGGUCAUAGUGAUCCGGUGGUUCUGAAUGGAAGGGCCAUCGCUCAACGGAUAAAAGGUACUCCGGGGAUAACAGGCUGAUACCGCCCAAGAGUUCAUAUCGACGGCGGUGUUUGGCACCUCGAUGUCGGCUCAUCACAUCCUGGGGCUGAAGUAGGUCCCAAGGGUAUGGCUGUUCGCCAUUUAAAGUGGUACGCGAGCUGGGUUUAGAACGUCGUGAGACAGUUCGGUCCCUAUCUGCCGUGGGCGCUGGAGAACUGAGGGGGGCUGCUCCUAGUACGAGAGGACCGGAGUGGACGCAUCACUGGUGUUCGGGUUGUCAUGCCAAUGGCACUGCCCGGUAGCUAAAUGCGGAAGAGAUAAGUGCUGAAAGCAUCUAAGCACGAAACUUGCCCCGAGAUGAGUUCUCCCUGACCCUUUAAGGGUCCUGAAGGAACGUUGAAGACGACGACGUUGAUAGGCCGGGUGUGUAAGCGCAGCGAUGCGUUGAGCUAACCGGUACUAAUGAACCGUGAGGCUUAACCUU